AGAAAAACAGAGGUAAUUUCAAAGAUCGUAAUUGUGAAAAUAAUAUCAUGAUUAAAUAAGGUUAGUGUAAUACAUGUAAAAGUGAGUUGUUUUCAGAUCUCAGUACAAAUAUCAAUUUAAAAGUAAGGUAGAAAUAUAGUUGCAUUACUACUGUUAACAGUAUAGGAGAAUUUGAUUAUGAUGAUAUUUUUAACUAUAUAAAUGGAAAAAUUUCACUAUAAAAUAGAUUCAGAAAUAUAUUAUAUUAAUAUCUUUAAAAUAUAAAUGCUCAUAAUUACCUCCCUUUGAUAAAUUAUGCAAAUUUGGUCUACCUUUGUGAAAUAUUUUAUAAUUAUAGUCAGGUAUAUAUUGAUUGUCAGUAACUUACAUAGUAGUUAAUGCGGACUAUUUCAAACACGGUUCUGUGAAAAUAUAGUACGCAAAUAUAUAGCAGUAUAUACUAUCGCAUAACACUGAUAGAUUUUCACUCCUCUGGAAAAAAUCAACCUGUGAAAUACCAUGCCUGGAAAAAAAUUACCGGGACAGAUUAUCCUCAGGAUAAAAUAUGACAGAGGAAGAAUUAACCGUUACACUCUUACCGGCGGAGGCUAAUACAGUAAAACAGUAGAAGUGAAUACAAAAUGGUGUUGAUUUUAAAUCAACAGACACACGACGUCUGGUUUCAAAAAUUAAACGGAUUUCAAGGUAAACGAUGUUUUCUUGAGAGUUCAUCACAGUUCUCAUCUUUCAAUUAAUUAUGAUUUUUGAGGAACUUAUUGGCAAAUGUUGCAAUUUGUGCUUGAAUGAUAAAUUGAUUAAAAUUGAAAGGCUGUUUGACCAAAUUUGUGUAUACAAAUUAAUUUUGAGAACUGUUAC
RNAcentral lists this long non-coding RNA (855 nucleotides) under Mytilus galloprovincialis (Mediterranean mussel). Lineage: Eukaryota; Metazoa; Mollusca; Bivalvia; Mytilida; Mytilidae. The record is from RNAcentral.